RNAcentral lists this long non-coding RNA (2504 nucleotides) under Androctonus crassicauda. Lineage: Eukaryota; Metazoa; Arthropoda; Arachnida; Scorpiones; Buthidae. The record is from RNAcentral.
AUUUUAAAUUAUUUUAUUUAUUUAUUAGCAGCCUGGAUUUAAAAAAAAAGCAAUAAUAUUUUAAAAAUAAAAAACAAGAAAAAUAUUGGCAUUUAUUAUAAGUGUAGCCAUCGAUUUUUAGCAGACAAAUGAAAAAAACACCUUUCCGGUCUAUCUGCCUAUUUCGUAUUCAAAAUCUGGCAAUAAGCGCAUUUCUUGAUCGAAACCGGUUUCGUCGACAGCUAAACCAUCGACUGUUCUAAUGUUUAAUUAAUUUUAAAAGAAGGAAAAAAUACCGAUAUUUUAUAAAAUUGAUAAAUAAAAGCCGUGGACGCCAGUUAUAAUGGUGAAAUGUGGACCGAACCAUUGUAAAUAGGUAACGAUAAACGAAUGUUGCCCUGGUAGCAUUUCUUUGAUCACAUCAGCAAUAAAUAAUAUCUUUUAAACUAUCUAAUCUAUUGCCUUUUCCUGUACGCUAUGCAUAUUUUACGUAAAGAAAGGUUUUGAUCGAAUAAACAACUGUAAAUGUUUAAUGGCACAAAGAGGAAUUUUUUGUGUAGGAGUAUCGCGCCACCGUAACCCGAAACGCGCUAACUGUUAUCUUAUAAAAUUAUUUAUCGCUUACUCUCGACAUUCUCCACGCUUUUCGGCCAGGUUUUUAACCAGCCAUUCUUCACGGUACUGGUUAAGUAGCGGAAAUAUGGCCGUCUUACUCGGUACGGCUCGGGUAACAAUUGUUUAGCUUAUCCCUACCGAGCCGUCUUUUCUGGCCAUUACAAAAUUAACUGAUAAUUCUAACGGGCGGAAAUGUCUAAAGUCCCUUUUUUCCUUUUAAGACGCGCAGCCUUAAAAGGAAAAAGGCGAGAAACAUCCUUUCCCAGAAAACAUCGAUUUACUUUAUCCACCGUCCAGCCUGGCUAAGUUAACAUCGAUUAUCCAGAAUUUCUAUUUAAAUGCCGAGUAACUUUUGAUAUUUAUAGAUAGCCGCUAAUUUUUCCUAUAUGAAAUUUUCCGUUGUUGUUAAAUAUUUGUCAUUUAAAAUUUUAAUAAUUUUCAUGGGUCGUCUAAGUAAAAUUAAAUUUUCUAUAUAUAACCAGACUCGAUUCGGCCUAUCGGGUCGGGUUUAAUCGAGAUUUUGGAUAAUUAUAUUCGAUGAGUUUUCUUUUUAUCCGUUACCUCUACUACGGCCGUAGGUCCUAUAUACCGAAAAGUGGAAACUCCAAUUUUUUUAUACCGACCAUAAAACCGGUCGGAAUGCCCCUAGCCACUUCUUUUUUUUUUCCCCCACGAUAUUUGAAAAUUGAAGCAAUAAAUAGUUUAAAUAAAAUCUAUUUAGCCCUGGCCAAAAAAAUGAAAAAAUUCUGAAACUUUCUAGUAAAAAUUUACGGUAUUCGGUCCAAGCGUCUGAAUCGACGAUUUUAUAACAUUUAUUUAUUAAGCCAGACAUAAAAUUAUAGUUGGUGCGUAUAGUGUGGUGUUUAGGUUUAUGGGAAAAUUAUUGUGGUAGUAAUUAUUCCCACGGACUAGUUAAAAAUAUUAAAAGAGGAAACGACCCAAGAAUCUCCGGUUUUUAAAUUCCAUCUUACGGCUUUAAAACGACCGCUAGUAUUUAUUCUUAUCGACAGAUGGCGCGGUAAUAGGAAGUAAAUGUAGUUUACCUACAGAUACUACAGCCUAGUUACGGUAACUGUUACCGAUAGCGCGGUUGGUGUGACGAAAAUCAAUAAAUGCUUUUAGCGGUAAGUCGAAUAAAAAAAUAUACAAGUUUGACGGACACGAUAUAUAACUCGACUCGGAUGUUACAAAUAUUUUCCAAGUAAAUUCUCUGCUAAUAACUAACUAUAAAAACAAAUAAAAAUGCUUGUCUUUCCCCGAAAAUAUUAAUUUUUGCUCCAAAAGACGCGUUACGACUUAUUUUCGGAAGAUGUCUUACUUUUCGCGUACAACAAUCUAUAUUUAUUCAGAUACAAUCACCGUGACACCGCUGUAUUUGAUUAGAUAUCCGAUCUUCUUUUGGAAGGCGGUUCCGAAUUCCAGCCUGACUGCAGGCUGGAAGUUGGCCCCCAUCUCUCCUGUCCAGCCAUACAGUUCUCCUUAAAUCAGCGCUUCUUGUCCCAGUAACCCGCUGAUAGCGCACUGGCCACACGGCUGUCGGUGAUUUUAUCUCAACAGUCGCAUCGCCGGCCUACUAGGCUUGGCCCUCAUUUCUACCCACCCUAUUUUCCACCUAGUCAUUGUUUACUUAUAUUUAAUUAUAUAUUAAUAUUCUUAUUAUGUAAUACAAUAGGUCCGUCGUGUUGCCACGGUCGUAUUAAAUGGCUUAUUUUGGACGUAUGGCUAAUGGCCUAUCGAGGGGACGGAGGGGGACCGCCCCGAGCUUCUGAUCGGGGGAUCUUCCGAAAAACCUUCAGUUUUAAAUAUAUGUACCUACAUGUAGGAAUAUAAAAAAGGGACUUUGUAUUCUGGGAGGAUGAUGACGUGUAAAUGUGCAGUGUUUAUGUUUAAAAGUUUAUGUUAGAAGGCUG